AAAUGGAGAACAGCUGCUCACGCUCGUCGUCUGACAUCAGCUAUUUCUCAGGAUGACCCUGCGAGACAGGCCAGGGUCAUUAGACCCAAUUUGGUUCUCAGCAAAUAUGUGUUUAUUCCUGCAUGCGUGGGCCACAGGCUGGUUUCUUGGGUGCAAUGAAUAGCUGCAGGUUUAUUAGGGUGUCUUUUUAGAUGGAUGUAUGUUUCCCGAUGUCUAUAGAACACUCCGGACCCCGGAGAGUGAAGACUCUGCCUGUCGGACUUGCUUUGAGAAGAUCCUUCUCCACCUCCCCAUGGCAGAAGUUGCUUCACAGAGGGGAACAGUUUUAUGGAUGUGGCUGAGACCUUAAACUUGAGGCAACCCAUCUGAGGUGGCAUCCAGAGGAGACUGGCUGGCCCCUCCUUCACCUUGGAUGUAGUGCUGUUUCUAGGAUCUCUUUUCAAUCAGCAAAACAGGGGAUGUUCCAAGAGGGUGUGGAUUCCCUGCCAUCCCACAUGGUCAAGUGGAGGGGACGGGAAAAAGCUAUGAAGGGUUUGUGACCACACAGACUCUCCUGGCCCCCUGUCCUUUUGGAAAGAAGACAGGGAUGAAAUAUAAUCAAGCAAUUAACCACCCCCAUCAUCACCAAGAACAACAGUAUCAACAAGAAGAACAGGGACAACAAAACCCACGGAUGAAACAUUCCUUUCUCAGCUCAGAUCUUAUCUGGUGCGUUCUCUCUCUGCUCUGUCUUGGUGUGUGGUUUAGAGAAACAUGGACAACGCUGUUUGGAAGAACAGGUGAGCGAGGGUGGGGAAUUUCAGAGGCCUGGGCCCACCGCCUCCACCCCUUCCCCAGUUUAACCUUUGACAGGAUCUUCACCUCUCUCUGAUCAGCAUUGCUUCUUGUUCAAAGGCCUCAGCCACCCAGCUGUGUCCCUUUCCCCAGAAAGCAAGGGCAGAUGGCAGUGGGUCUGUUGAUGAGAGAACUUUAAGGGCCCAAUCAGUCCCUGGGCACCCCCUCCUGGGCUCGUUUUCUCCAGGAGGCUGCAUUCUGAUCCAUAAACCUUCUCCUCGGGGUUUAGGGUCGAGCUGUUCCUGAUGUUUAUCGGAGACUGGGAUCAAAGCUAUCCAGGUCAUAAAUCUCUCUCUGUGGCUGUUGGGCCCCAGGGCAGCUGAAGAGGGUUGACAGCCCUUUGGACCUCAAAGGAAAAAAUGUGCUCUACUCCACCCACUCCCAGCUCUGCCAAGAAGCUGUCCUCUGAGAAGCCAUGGCUGGGCCGUUCCAUUCUGGGGAGCUGCUGAAAAGAGCUGGGAGGCCGAGAAGAACUUGCGUGUGCUGGGGGAGAGGAAGCCUGGCCUUGAGGGAGGGGUGCAGGUGUGGCUCCUCUGUGUGUGGGGGCUGGGGGACCUUGUGUGCCUUUUCCUUGUGGCUGUGAAAUGCUUUAUGAGUACUUCCAUAGGAGGAUGGACAGGGAGUCGGGGAGAUAAACUCAGCCACAAGGCCCCAGGGCCUCAGGAAACUUGCACCCAACCCUCUCAUUUUACAGAAGAAAACUGUGCCUGGAAGGUUGAAGGGUUUGUUCCCAGUCACACAACCAGGGAUCCUUAGGACAGCCAGACCAGGAAACCAUUUCCAAACUGCCAAGCCAUGGCAGAGUAUCAAGACCUCAGGAACCAUCGAGACACCAUGGAAGCAUUGGGAAAAGCCUCCUUAGCUUUUGAAGCUCCUCAUUGUUCUUGAGUGUGCAUGGAGCCCAUGACUGCGGGGUUUUGUAGACACCUCAGGGAUUACAUGACUGGUACCCCUGACAAAGUCAAGGCUGCUGGACAAAAUGAGUCCGAGGAUUUCAGGGGCAGCUGGGCGCAGGAGCUGGUGGGCUGUUGGGAGUGCCCCUUUACUGGGCAGGCUUCCUUCCUCCUGGUGAUGGGGGGUUCCUCAGCACAAAAGUGAAGGGGUGGAGGGGCUGGAGGAGCAGGAAUCUCUCUUGUUGAUAGGUAUGAGGCCUUGAAGUCCUUUUCUUUGUCCCAGGAUUCAUGGACGCUUCGGGGCUGAUCUUUGAGUUUUCAAGCAUGGGGUGCAGAGACGUUUAGGUAAACUCUUACCGUCCUCUCUCUUCGUCAGGGCUUCCCAGGAAUCAACAAUGCCCAAGAAGGAAGGGAUUGUAGAAAUAGCUUAACCCUUUCAUUUACCAACGUGGAAAUUGAAGCCCAGGGAAGGGAAGGGACCGGUCGUGGAAGGGAGAGCCAUCAGCAGAAAGAGACCCUGAGAUCUUCGCCUGGGAUUCCCAGGAAGUCCAGCCCGAGCUGAUUCACAGAACAAAUGCAUGCAAACCUUGCUAUCAAUAAAUUACACAUGCACUUACGUAAAACACAUAAAAA
RNAcentral lists this long non-coding RNA (2360 nucleotides) under Homo sapiens (human). Its description in RNAcentral is "non-protein coding lnc-BRF2-7:7". Lineage: Eukaryota; Metazoa; Chordata; Mammalia; Primates; Hominidae. The record is from RNAcentral.